UACGUAGGGUGCGAGCGUUGUCCGGAAUUAUUGGGCGUAAAGAGCUUGUAGGCGGUCUGUCGCGUCUGCUGUGAAAAUCCGGGGCUCAACCCCGGACUUGCAGUGGGUACGGGCAGACUAGAGUGUGGUAGGGGAGACUGGAAUUCCUGGUGUAGCGGUGAAAUGCGUAGAUAUCGGGAGGAACACCUGAGGCGAAGGCGGGCUACUGGGCCGAUACUGACGCUGAGGCGCGAAAGCCAGGGGAGCAAACGGG
RNAcentral lists this ribosomal RNA (253 nucleotides) under uncultured bacterium. Its description in RNAcentral is "partial 16S ribosomal RNA". It matches the Rfam family "Bacterial small subunit ribosomal RNA", at positions 524 to 776 of the family's 1533-position model. The record is from RNAcentral.